UUGCAGUUAAAAAGCUCGUAGUUGGAUUUCGGAACCGGCCGAUUGGUCCGUCCUCUGGAUCGUGUACUGAUCGGUCUGUUCUUCUUCGCGAAGACCGCGUGUGCUCUUAACUGAGUGGGCGUGGGAUUCGCGACGUUUACUUUGAAAAAAUUAGAGUGUUCAAAGCAGGCAGUCGCUUGAAUAUCUCAGCAUGGAAUAAUAGAAUAGGACUUUGGUCUUAUUUUGUUGGUUUCCGAGACCGAAGUAAUGAUUAAUAGGGACAGUUGGGGGCAUUCGUAUUUCAUUGUCAGAGGUGAAAUUCUUGGAUUUAUGAAAGACGAACUUCUGCGAAAGCAUUUGCCAAGGAUGUUUUCAUUAAUCAAGAACGAAAGUUGGAGGCUCGAAGACGAUCAGAUACCGUCCUAGUUCCAACCAUAAACGAUGCCGUCUGCGGAUCGGAGGUCGCUCAUGUAAGGCUCCUUCGGCACGCUAUGAGAAAUCAAAGACUUCGGGUUCCGGGGGGAGUAUGUUCGCAAGAAUGAAACUUAAAGGAAUUGACGGAAGGGCACCACCAGGAGUGGAACCUGCGGUUUAAUUUGACUCAACACGGGAAAUCUCACCA
This 601-nucleotide ribosomal RNA is filed under the name uncultured marine eukaryote. RNAcentral describes it as "SSU rRNA". It matches the Rfam family "Eukaryotic small subunit ribosomal RNA", at positions 613 to 1220 of the family's 1831-position model. The record is from RNAcentral.